Long non-coding RNA from Pomacea canaliculata, 547 nucleotides. RefSeq lists it as uncharacterized. The transcript has 3 exons. The record is from RefSeq and is a predicted model, not a curated record. Lineage: Eukaryota; Metazoa; Mollusca; Gastropoda; Architaenioglossa; Ampullariidae.
AAUCUCAUCCAGAAUAAUUAAAGACAUGAAUGACAAAGCGAGGACAAAGUCCUAUAAAAGUGAGGCUGGUGGAAGAAGUGGUAGACAGACUGCAAACUCUUAACAAUGAAGGUCUUCGUUGCUCUUUGCCUCUUGUGUAUCGUCAUGGUUACUUCGACAGAAAUAGAUUGUGAUAAAGCGAUACCCUGCCCGCUGAUCUACGAUCCCAUGUGUGGGUCUGACGGCCACACCUACGGUAACUGGUGUCAAUUCAAAUACCAACUGGUUUGCAAGAACUCUACACUAAACCUGGUUCACUGCGGAAAGUGUGACAAAGACUAAAAACGACAUCAGAUGGACUGACAACUUCCUAUCUCUGCAUUUCAUUACCAGAACACACAGUCAUCUGAUUCUGGCCAUGUUCACUGUACACACAAUGGUUUGAUAUACACGGUCAAGUCUUGUGUGGUCUAGUACUCGAGCUGUACUAAACAUGUUUGUCUAGAAAAUAUGGAGGCUUUGAAACGAGAAAGAUAAAAUAAAGUACAAGAUUGAAAUUGCCUGCAAA